RNAcentral lists this long non-coding RNA (224 nucleotides) under Homo sapiens (human). Its description in RNAcentral is "HSALNT0373246". The record is from RNAcentral. Lineage: Eukaryota; Metazoa; Chordata; Mammalia; Primates; Hominidae.
CAUCCCCUGAGAAUUCUCUCGCCUGCCUUAGGCACUUAGGCUCCGGGAGAUUGCAAAUAACCUGCUUUCUUUCUGUUCCCGGGCUGCGUUCGGACUCCUGUCAGAUAGUAAAUCCUAAGUAAGGUGGCGUCGGACCCCUGUCAGAGAGUAAAUCUCAAGUAAGGUACCUGCCAUCGGCAGAUUUGAGCUUUCUUCUUGGACACCUAAUACCCACAGUCCUCCAG